This 781-nucleotide ribosomal RNA is filed under the name uncultured marine bacterium. Its description in RNAcentral is "bacterial SSU rRNA". It matches the Rfam family "Bacterial small subunit ribosomal RNA", at positions 56 to 883 of the family's 1533-position model. The record is from RNAcentral.
UGCAAGUCGAACGAGAUCUUCGGAUCUAGUGGCAGACGGGUGAGUAACGCGUGGGAACCUGCCCAGUAGUAGAGGACAACUUGGGGAAACUUAAGCUAAUACUUUAUACGUCCUUCGGGAGAAAGCUUUAUGCGCUAUUGGAUGGGCCCGCGUUAGAUUAGUUUGUUGGUGAGGUAAUGGCUCACCAAGACUACGAUCUAUAGCUGGUCUGAGAGGAUGAUCAGCCACACUGGGACUGAGACACGGCCCAGACUCCUACGGGAGGCAGCAGUGGGGAAUAUUGGACAAUGGGGGCAACCCUGAUCCAGCGAUGCCGCGUGAGUGAUGAAGGCCCUAGGGUUGUAAAACUCUUUCGUCAGGGAAGGUAAUGACGGUACCUGAAGAAGAAGAUCCGGCUAACUCCGUGCCAGCAGCCGCGGUAAUACGGAGGGAUCUAGCGUUAUUCGGAAUUACUGGGCGUAAAGCGAGCGUAGGCGGAUUUGUAAGUUGGAGGUGAAAUCCCAGAGCUUAACUCUGGAACUGCCUUCAAAACUACGUUUCUUGAGUUUGGUAGAGGAGAGUGGAAUUCCUAGUGUAGAGGUGAAAUUCGUAGAUAUUAGGAGGAACACCAGUGGCGAAGGCGACUCUCUGGGCCAAUACUGACGCUGAGGUUUGAAAGCAUGGGUAGCGAACAGGAUUAGAUACCCUGGUAGUCCAUGCAGUAAACGAUGAGUGCUAGAUGUUGGGAAUUUAAAUUUCCAGUAUCGCAGUUAACGCGUUAAGCACUCCGCCUGGGAAGUAC